Dreissena polymorpha is the source of this 469-nucleotide long non-coding RNA. RefSeq lists it as uncharacterized. The record is from RefSeq and is a predicted model, not a curated record. Lineage: Eukaryota; Metazoa; Mollusca; Bivalvia; Myida; Dreissenidae. The transcript is spliced from 2 exons.
AAGGUUUUUAACCAGGUUUUCCGAAGGAAAAAACUGGUUAUUAGAUUGGCGAAUGCGGGCGGGCUGGCUGGCUGGCGGGCUGGCUGGCUGGCGGGCUGGCGGAAUAAGCUUGUCCGGGCCAUAACUAUGUCGUUCAUUGUCAGAUUUUAAAAUCAUUUGGCACAUUUGUUCACCAUCAUUGGACGGUGUGUCGCGCGAAAUAAUUACGUCGAUGUCUCCAAGGUCAAGGUCACACUUUGAGUUCAAAGGUCAAAAAUGGCCAUAAAUGAGCUUGUCCUGGCCAUAACUAUGUCAUUCAUUGUGAGAUUUUAAAAUCAUUUGGCACAUUUGUACACCAUCAUGGGACGGUGUGUCCCACGAAAGAAUCACGUCAAUAUCUCCAAUGUCAAGGUCGCCACGACUAAAAAUAGAUUUAAAAAAAAAAAAAAAUUACAAAGGGGGUUAAUUUUUUUUGGUCAUUUCAAAAGUU